Molecule: ribosomal RNA, 310 nt
Filed under: Aliarcobacter cryaerophilus
Lineage: Bacteria; Pseudomonadati; Campylobacterota; Epsilonproteobacteria; Campylobacterales; Arcobacteraceae
Description: partial 23S ribosomal RNA
Rfam family: Bacterial large subunit ribosomal RNA
Source: RNAcentral
GCCAAGAAAAGCCACUAAGUUUAUUAUAUGUUGCCCGUACCGUAAACCGACACAGGUGGGUGGGAUGAGUAUUCUAAGGCGCGUGGAAGAACCCUCUUUAAGGAACUCUGCAAAAUAGCACCGUAUCUUCGGUAUAAGGUGUGCCUACUUUGGUAUAUGGACUUGCUCCAAAAAGCUGAAGAGGUUGCAACAAAGAGUCCCUCCCGACUGUUUACCAAAAACACAGCACUUUGCUAACACGUAAGUGGAUGUAUAAGGUGUGACGCCUGCCCGGUGCUCGAAGGUUAAUUGAUGAUGUCAGCGCUGUCUC